GAUGAACGCUGGCGGCGUGCCUAAUACAUGCAAGUCGAGCGAACAGACGAGGAGCUUGCUCCUCUGACGUUAGCGGCGGACGGGUGAGUAACACGUGGAUAACCUACCUAUAAGACUGGGAUAACUUCGGGAAACCGGAGCUAAUACCGGAUAAUAUAUUGAACCGCAUGGUUCAAUAGUGAAAGACGGUUUUGCUGUCACUUAUAGAUGGAUCCGCGCCGCAUUAGCUAGUUGGUAAGGUAACGGCUUACCAAGGCAACGAUGCGUAGCCGACCUGAGAGGGUGUUCGGCAACCUUGGAACUGGGAACCGGCCAGACUCCUACGGGAGGCAGCAGUAGGGAAUCUUCCGCAAUGGGCGAAAGCCUGACGGAGCAACGCCGCGUGAGUGAUGAAGGUCUUCGGAUCGUAAAACUCUGUUAUUAGGGAAGAACAAAUGUGUAAGUAACUAUGCACGUCUUGACGGUACCUAAUCAGAAAGCCACGGCUAACUACGUG
This 496-nucleotide ribosomal RNA is filed under the name uncultured bacterium. RNAcentral's name for it is "partial 16S ribosomal RNA". It matches the Rfam family "Bacterial small subunit ribosomal RNA", at positions 28 to 507 of the family's 1533-position model. The record is from RNAcentral.